This is a non-coding RNA of Pantherophis guttatus, 315 nucleotides long. Lineage: Eukaryota; Metazoa; Chordata; Lepidosauria; Squamata; Colubridae. The record is from RefSeq and is a predicted model, not a curated record.
GAUUUUGUAAGGAGGCACUAAUCAAACUAGAUAUAUUAAGCUUUCCAUUAGAUACAGGAUGCUUCCCUGUGUCUCAAACCAUGUCUUGCUCUAUGAAAGUGAAUAUGAAUGCGCUCUGAACAGAAAAUCAGAUCUGAAGAUAACCUCCAAAACCUGAAGUGAAUUGUCGCCAGCAGUUAAAUCUCCAAGGCUUAUUUGGCCAGCUUUCAUAAUUUAUUACUCAACAUAUCAAAGCAGGUUUGGACUGGAACCCCCUCUCCCCCUUUGGGCUUAUUUCAUCAGAUUUCUCUGAAUUAAAACUAUUAAUUGAAAGUA